RNAcentral lists this ribosomal RNA (77 nucleotides) under Collinsella tanakaei. Its description in RNAcentral is "partial 16S ribosomal RNA". The stretch from base 1 to 68 matches the Rfam family "Bacterial small subunit ribosomal RNA", at positions 1466 to 1533 of the family's 1533-position model. Lineage: Bacteria; Bacillati; Actinomycetota; Coriobacteriia; Coriobacteriales; Coriobacteriaceae. The record is from RNAcentral.
GGAGGGUGAGGGGGGUGAAGUCGUAACAAGGUAGCCGUACGGGAACGUGCGGCUGGAUCACCUCCUUUCUAGGGAGA